RNAcentral lists this ribosomal RNA (465 nucleotides) under uncultured bacterium. RNAcentral's name for it is "partial 16S ribosomal RNA". It matches the Rfam family "Bacterial small subunit ribosomal RNA", at positions 338 to 795 of the family's 1533-position model. The record is from RNAcentral.
CCUACGGGAGUCUGCAGUGGGGAAUAUUGCGCAAUGGGCGAAAGCCUGACGCAGCGACGCCGCGUGAGGGAUGAAGGUCUUCGGAUCGUAAACCUCUGUCAGCAGGGAAGAACGGUCACUGUGCUAAUCAUCAGUGAAUUACCGGUACCUGCAAAGGAAGCACCGGCUAACUCCGUGCCAGCAGCCGCUGUAAUACGGAGGGUGCGAUCGUUAAUCGGAAUUACUGGGCGUAAAGCGCUCGUAGGCGGUAUGUCAAGUCAAGGGUGAAAUCCCCGCGCUCAACGUGGGAACUGCCUUUGAAACUGGCAGACUGGAGUGUGUGAGAGGGUAGUGGAAUUCAAGGUGUAGGAGUGAAAUCCGUAGAUAUCUGGAGGAACAUCAGUGGCGAAGGCGACUAUCUGGCACAUAACUGACGCUGAGGAGCGAAAGCGUGGGUAGCAAACAGGAUUAGAUACCCUGGUAGUC